RNAcentral lists this long non-coding RNA (4566 nucleotides) under Octopus vulgaris (common octopus). The record is from RNAcentral. Lineage: Eukaryota; Metazoa; Mollusca; Cephalopoda; Octopoda; Octopodidae.
GAGAAUGUUGCAGGACAAUGACAGAAUCAAUGAUAUAAAAGUGAGAUGAAACAGACAACAGUAAGUCAUUUUACUAUCGAGAUUUUCAAAAUGGUCAAAAUUGUCUGCCUGAUUUAUGCAGUCCUCCUGGUUGGACUUCUGGAAAGUUGUUUUGCAAGAAGUGCAAUUUUGAAUAGAGAUGCUGAGGGUACUGUCGAUGCACCACCCGCUCUAGAAAAACGAAGUGAAAGUUUUUUUUGAAGAUAAUGCGUCUGGAGCUGGAAGUGCUGGAGGUGCUGAAGAUGCUUUAUCUCUAGAAAAACGUUUUGUACCACGAACUGUACCACAGAACCGUUGCCCUGGAGGGCCUGUUCGAGCCCCAGGCAGUUAUGGAACACAACCUGCACCACAGAACCGUUGCCCUAAAGGGCCUGUUCGAGCCCCAGGCAGUUAUGGAAAAUGAUGCAUCAGGAAAAACGAAGUCCUUAGUUUUCUGAAAUAGAAUUUAGUCUUCCGAAAAUCUUUAAAAGGUAUCGUAUAUAAUGAAGCGCAUUAUGGCUUUAUGUAUUUACAGAUUUGAUUCAAGCCUGAUAUAAAUAAGCACACAGAUUUUCGUAUUCUCUUUCUAAUUUUGUAUUCCUACUUUACAUAUUGCCAGGCCACUGUAGAGUGUAUCCUUCGAUUUCUGAUAUAAAUAUACCACGCAAAAAUUUCAAGGAAAAUAAGCCAAUGGUGUUUUGUAAUAAAGCUGCUAUGUAUUUUUAAAUUUCGUUGAUUAAUUAUAGAAAUCUCUAUCAAAAGCCUACUGGGAAUUAAUGUUACUGUGAGUAAAUAUUCUUCCCAGUGCUUCAAAUCUCUUCUUUGAAAACGUUGGCUUAAAAACAGUAAAUGAGAUGAUUUAUAUCUUUAUCAAACAUUUUAUAGCCGUAUUGUACAUCAUUGAGCAAUUUCGAGAGCAGCAUUAAGGCUAGACAAAAGAGGAGCAGUGAUAGAGAGUCACCCUGGAAAAUGCCACAUAAAAUUCUUACAUCUCCAAUAUUGAGAGAUUCAUUGUCACUGUUCAAAGUCAGUGUCGUUCUUCAUGAUCUCAUACUUACAGACAAGAAGGUUCGCAGAGUAGGUGCUAUUUUAUAAUUUACCAGACAUUUCUUAAUCCACCUAUGUGGUAGACUAUCAAAAGCGUUUUAUAGUCUAUCCAGGCUAUCGACAAGAUUUUGUGUUGUUUGUGACGAUUUUCCAAGGCCACUUAUUGAUAAGUAGCUGAACUUUACAACCAUAGGACCUACAUUUACAUCCUUUUUUCUCAUUAGAAGAUAUCCCACUUUCUAUUAAAAAGCUAUAGGUAUAUUCAGUCAAGACAGAUGUUAAGUAUUUUAUACAUUGUUGUUAAGCAGUUUAUCAGUCUAUAAUUUUUUGGUUAGUUUGUUUCUUCAUUUUUUUUUAUGUAGGAAUAUUUCACCAUUAACUAGCUAAGAGGGGAUCAUACUAGGUUAUUGCAAAACAUUGUUGUAAAAUUUUGUUACCAGUUCAUGGCUCUCUAGGAAGCCAUUCAACCAGAAGUUAAGAAUGUUAUCUUUUCAUGGAGAUUUCCAUUUGCUUGACUUCUUGAGAGCAGAUCUUACGUCCUCUACCUUGAAACCCUCCCACAUUUGCUCUUCUAAGGAAUCAAAGUCUGUAGAUAUUCUAUCAAUACAAGGGGCCUUUUCAUUCUGUGUUUUUUCUUCUGCCCAAAUUUUAUUCCAAAAUUCCUGCAUUUCUUAUUUUGAUGGGACAGACUUAACUGUAACACGUAUUUUCCCUGUCAUCCUGUAUAAAUAUUUUGGAUUAUUUUUUAACAUGUUGUUGUCCUCGUAGAAUCUAAGGCGCUUUUCAUACCUUGCUAUGCGGCUAACUUUAGCAUAUACCUUUUGCUUGAUAGUUUCUAUGGUAUUGAUGUCAAGUAUGGUUUUCAUAUAUUUUUUCUUUAAUUUUCGGACUUUUGUUGAUUUGAUAGUCUGGUCAAACUUAAUGUUUUUUUAAACAUUCUAUGUCAAACCUAAGUAACUAAAUUUGGUUUUGAAUGCGCUCUUGUUAAGUAGGCUUUUUGUGGGAAUGUUAUCGUUUUUUAAUCUUUUCCCCACAUAGAAUCGUUGAGAUUUUCGCGGAUGUAUAGUACAGGUGAUUGAGAUCUGUAAUAUCAACAUCAUUAUUUGAAAUUAUAAUCUUAAGUGCAAGGCGGAUUUUGCCAAUUACUUUCAGGUUUUGGUUAGAAUUACGAAUUUUUGGGAGAGUGGUGCUUUCAUUCAUACUGGUUUCUUUAAUUUUCCUCCAUUCAAUCAUGAUUUCAUAUUUUAGAUUAUGUAGUUCUGUUGCGUCAAUUUCUGUGUGACUUUCUUCAUCUAUUUGAUUUUCAUCUUCCUUAGUGUUUAUGGUUGGUUCAGAGAGUAUUUCACUUUGCUUAUCAGUUACAUUAACUUUUUCAAUCAUUAUUGCUUUUUCAUCAGGUCUGGGUUAGUCUAUGAUUAUUUCCUCCGUAGUAACUUUUCUUUAGCUAUAACUUCGUUCCUUUUAUCCCUUACUGAUUGUUUAAUUUGCUCAAUCUCUAAUUCACUUAGCAAUUUCUUUUUCAUAACGUUGGCAGGUUUGUUACUGUCUAUGUAGAGUCUUACUUCAAUGUGUUUCUGUCUCCAGUUUAAGUAGGUUUGUACAGUAUAAGAUUUAUUUGUGUGGAAAUAUAUGGCGUGAUAGAAGGCCUUAAGAACUUCUUUAUUAUCUCCCCUAGACCAUUAUUCAUUCUUUUUCUUUUGGUUAUUUGAUGACGAACAUGAAUGGCUAUCUGUUGGAAUAUUCUAGUUGUGGGGUAUUUCCAGCUCCUGAGUUUCAGGAAGAUUUGAACCAGUAGCUGACUUUUCCUAUCAAAUCUAGUUCAUUGUUCGAGUGCGCUGUCCUUGGUGAUCCGGGUGAGGGCCGAUCCGAUUUUUAUUUUGCUUUGUUAUCAUUGAGGCAUGACAAGUUUGGACGUUGACAUUAGGGGACGGAUCUGUCUGUUUAGGGUUAAUUUUUGAGACAUCACUGCCUCCGAGUUCUCUGAAUGAAAACAUUAUACCGGCACAGCACGGUACAACCCCAUAAAACUACAAUUCUUAGUAGGUAUCAUUAGGCCGUAGUCGGCAUAAUAAAGUAGGAGCUUUUAAAUGCAUACUCAAACACAUAAAAGAUAUAAAGAUGAACGUGUGUGUAUGUAUGUGUGAAGAUAUGUGUGCAUGUGUGUGCAUAUAUGUAUAUGUAUGUAUGUUUGUUUAAUUUUAUUUGAUUUUGUGAGGUUAUUUAUGAUUUUAUGUUUCCAUAGGUGUAUUUACACAGAGAUAUUGUUAUUUUAUGGGUUUAGUUUCACGUUUAAUACUUAUUGAGAUUAAAUUAGAUGUUUUAAUUUUUGAUUAAAUUUAACAUUUUAAUUUUUGUUUUUAGUUUAUGUUUUCUGAUAAUUUGUUUUAUCAACUAAUGUUUAUUUAUUUAUGUUUUUCUAUAUUCACAUUAAUAUUAAUAUGUCUUUGGGUUUAUAUGUUAAUAAUUACAGGUUUUUAUGAGCCGAUAAAUAGUCUAUGCUCCCGUUUCUGAAUGUGAUUAUUCCAAUUAGCAUUCUUGCAUAUGUGUAUAUGUGUAUAUCAAACGACGACUUUUUGUCUGUUAAAUCUCAAUUGAUGACCUUAUUACAUUGCAGGAUAUUCUUAUAACCAUGAACUGAUAGUUAUACAGCCAUGCAACAUGAUACAAGACAGACAAUACGCCUUCUUGUCAAUUAUCCUACAUUUUCUCCUUAACUUUUAGCACACCGCGUUUUUCUCUAGAAUUGUUUCCCUUGACACUGCCUUGAUACUACAGCAGAAAAAACUUAUAUGGUGAUAUGAUAAAUCUACAGUUUGUUAAAGGUCAAUUUAGUAUUUUACAUUCUGUAUAAGAGAGGGUCUAUAAUGCAUUCUGAAUAUUUCUCUAUGGAUAAUAUUCCCUGAAAAUGUGAUUCAUGCAUAUUGUAUAAAACAUGAGAUGUAAGAAUUAUUGGAACAGUCGUAGGAAUGAACAUAUUGCGAUAUCACAGAUCUUGAUCUCUUAUUCCUUUAAACAUAUUUUGCUCUGUUCAUGUGUUAUAACCUAUAUUCACAAAGUAUUUAUAUAUGUGAUUUCAAGAGGUUGUUGGUUAUUUAACGUGUACAAACUUUCAAGUGGUUGUUGGUUAUUUAACGUGUACAAACUUUUAUGGAAAUAUAAAUGUGUGUGUGAGAGAGAGAGUGUGUGUGUGUAAGAGAAAGAGUAUGUGUGUGAGUGAGUGAGAGAAAGAGAGCAUGUGCGCGUGUGCGUGUAUGCGCGCGUGCGUGUCUGUGCGUGUGUGUGUGUGUGUGUGUGUGUGUGUGUGUGUGUGUCUGUGUGUGUGUGUGUGUGUGUGUGUGUGUGUGUGUGUGUGCAUGUAUGUAUGCGUGUAUCUCUGCGUUGAUGGGGGGGAAAAAGAAACUAUGAAUUCUGAUCAGAUUGUUUUUGUUCUUCUUCAGGGCAUUACAAAGACCAACAGAUUUAAACAUGUAUCCAUCAUCUGUUGAAAUAAACAAUGAAACU